UGAAAAGUGCAGUUCUAUUACAAUUUUUCAAAAUGAAAUCAUUGUAUUUUCUUGUAAUUUUAUCAAUUUAUGUCGUUCUUAGCAACUGUGCCACUAGCGACGAACUUAGAAGGAGAUGCUUGCAACCGCGAAAUGACCCAAACUGCACCACUACUUCGGAGGCGUAUUUUUACAUCCCUGCUAGAUACCGCUGUCAGCGCCAAAUAUACUCCAAUUGCACAGACGCCAAUAUCACACAUUUUACGAACGCCUCUUCUUGUUAUAGAGCCUGUCGAAUUAUAGAUUAUUAAAUAAACUGUUUUUCUAUACACAUAUGAGAUAAAUAUUAUACCAUAAUAUAACUUUCUUGCAUAAAAAAAAAUACACACUACGCACAGCACUAUAUAUUGUAAUAAAUAUAU
Molecule: long non-coding RNA, 401 nt
Organism: Spodoptera litura
Lineage: Eukaryota; Metazoa; Arthropoda; Insecta; Lepidoptera; Noctuidae
Source: RefSeq, a predicted model, not a curated record